This 99-nucleotide ribosomal RNA is filed under the name Staphylococcus aureus. RNAcentral's name for it is "partial 16S ribosomal RNA". It matches the Rfam family "Bacterial small subunit ribosomal RNA", at positions 1436 to 1533 of the family's 1533-position model. The record is from RNAcentral. RNAcentral also lists the same sequence under 1 other name. Lineage: Bacteria; Bacillati; Bacillota; Bacilli; Caryophanales; Staphylococcaceae.
UAACCUUUUAGGAGCUAGCCGUCGAAGGUGGGACAAAUGAUUGGGGUGAAGUCGUAACAAGGUAGCCGUAUCGGAAGGUGCGGCUGGAUCACCUCCUUU